CUUACCAACAUAGAAUCUGAGAGUGCCUGACUAUACAAUCAUUAAUAUUUAGUUGGCAUUACUACCUAAAAGUUCUGAAGUUCUGUGAAUUGUUUAUUUAUGAGCAAUGCUCAUUUUUAAAUUUGAGAAUUAACAUCUAUUUUUGUGAAUCUCUGUACCAGAUGGACAGAAGUGGUAGGUACAGUUCUGUUUUUAGGCUGAGAACAGAUGUCGCACUGGGGGUGUGAAUCACUCUCCUCCACACAGUCCUGUCUCUGAACAUCCUGUGCAACUGUUCUGCUCUGGGGGAUUCCCCACUGUGGCUUUUCACUGGGACUUCGAGGAUAGACAUCUAUUUUAGCAUUUAAGGACUUCUGAUCCCCCAGGUACUAACAUUAGGCCUCUGAUUCAUUUUUACAUAUGUUUAUCUGCUCAAGGGCUGAGGAAUAAGGGGCUGGUUUCCUUAUAUGCAUUUUCUUUCCCCAAUUGUGAUAGGGGAAUUUGAAUUAAAGAGUCUCUGGUCUCAACCUGUUGAAAUCCUCCUUUCUUUUUUACCGUGG
Molecule: long non-coding RNA, 539 nt
Filed under: Vulpes vulpes (red fox)
Lineage: Eukaryota; Metazoa; Chordata; Mammalia; Carnivora; Canidae
Description: lncRNA (ENSVVUG00000007536.1)
Source: RNAcentral